RNAcentral lists this ribosomal RNA (465 nucleotides) under uncultured bacterium. Its description in RNAcentral is "partial 16S ribosomal RNA". It matches the Rfam family "Bacterial small subunit ribosomal RNA", at positions 338 to 795 of the family's 1533-position model. The record is from RNAcentral.
CCUACGGGGGGCUGCAGUGGGGAAUUUUGCGCAAUGCUCGUAAGAGUGACGCAGCGACGCCGCGUGAGUGACGAAGGCCUUCGGGUCGUAAAGCUCUUUCGGCAGGGAAGAAAAUGCCUAUAAGUAACUGUGUAUGAAUUGACGGUACCUGUAUAGGCAGCCCCGGCUAACUCCGUGCCAGCAGCCGCGGUAAUACGGAGGGGGCGAGCGUUGUUCGGAGUGACUGGGCGUAAAGAGCACGUAGGCGGUGUUGUAAGUCAUUAGUCAAAGACUAGAGCUCAACUUUAGUAAGGCUAGUGAUACUAGAAAACUAGAGUGUCAGAGAGGAUAGCGGAAUUCCUGGUGUAGCGGUGAAAUGCGUAGAUAUCAGGAGGAAUACCAGUGGCGAAGGCGGCAAUCUGGCUGGAAACUGACGCUGAGGUGCGAAAGCGUGGGUAGCAAACAGGAUUAGAUACCCUGGUAGUC